RNAcentral lists this unclassified non-coding RNA (561 nucleotides) under Cenococcum geophilum. Its description in RNAcentral is "partial contains ITS1, 5.8S rRNA and ITS2". The stretch from base 210 to 363 matches the Rfam family "5.8S ribosomal RNA". Lineage: Eukaryota; Fungi; Ascomycota; Dothideomycetes; Gloniales; Gloniaceae. The record is from RNAcentral.
UCUUGGUCAUUUAGAGGAAGUAAAAGUCGUAACAAGGUUUCCGUAGGUGAACCUGCGGAAGGAUCAUUACAGAAAGUAAACGCGGAUCAAACCGCGAACUUCUAAACCUUUGACGAUCGACUCAUGUUGCCUCGGCGGGUGCUCCCGCCAGAGGAUACAUCAAAACUCAUGUUUUAACGGUGUUGUCUGAGCUACAAGCAACGAAUCAAAACUUUCAACAACGGAUCUCUUGGUUCUGGCAUCGAUGAAGAACGCAGCGAAAUGCGAUAAGUAGUGUGAAUUGCAGAAUUCAGUGAAUCAUCGAAUCUUUGAACGCACAUUGCGCCCCUUGGUAUCCCGAGGGGCAUGCCUGUUCGAGCGUCAUUUCACCACUCAAGCCUGGCUUGGUGUUGGGCGACGUCCCCUUUGGGGACGCGCCUCGAAACGCUCGGCGGCGUGGCACCGGCUUUAAGCGUAGCAGAAUCUUUCGCUUUGAAAGUCGGGGCCCCGUCUGCCGGAAGACCUACUCGCAAGGUUGACCUCGGAUCAGGCAGGGAUACCCGCUGAACUUAAGCAUAUCAU